CAGUCGCCGCGGUAAUACGUAGGUGGCAAGCGUUGUCCGGAAUUAUUGGGCGUAAAGCGCGCGCAGGCGGAUAGGUCAGUCUGUCUUAAAAGUUCGGGGCUUAACCCCAUGAUGGGAUGGAAACUGCUGAUCUAGAGUAUCGGAGAGGAAAGUGGAAUUCCUAGUGUAGCGGUGAAAUGCGUAGAUAUUAGGAAGAACACCAGUGGCGAAGGCGACUUUCUGGACGAAAACUGACGCUGAGGCGCGAAAGCGUGGGGAGCAAACAGGAUUAGAUACCCGGGUAGUCCCUGUCUCUUAUACA
RNAcentral lists this ribosomal RNA (301 nucleotides) under uncultured bacterium. RNAcentral's name for it is "partial 16S ribosomal RNA". It matches the Rfam family "Bacterial small subunit ribosomal RNA", at positions 509 to 808 of the family's 1533-position model. The record is from RNAcentral.